CACCAGCAUCGGAGCUAGGGCUUUUCCUUGGACGUGAGCCGAGUCGGGUCCACGGACGAGUUCGUGGAGGAGAUAGAGCCUCGGUUCCAGGCCGCGUUCAAGGCGAUGGAGGAGCUGGGGAAGGGCGCGAUCGCGAACCUGGCCCAGAUGAGGGCCGCAUGGUCGGGCACUACUGGUUGAGGAAGUCGGAACUCGUGCCGGCCGGGUUCCUGAAGGCGCAUAUUGAGAGCACGCUUGACGCGGUCUGCGGUCUGCAAUUUCCCCAUGUUCUUCUUUAAUUGUUGUUUCCUGAGUUUAAUGAGCUCGUGGUAAUGAUAAUAAUGAUAUCUAUUGCUCCUAUUCUAGAGGAUUCUUAGAAGAGAAGCUUGACGAUCGGUUUAUUUGUUGACAUUUGCUGAAUGCCAAGUGUCGGGAGUUCUGUUGAAAGAUGAUAAAAUUUUAUUCAUUGGAGCAAGUUCUCAAUAAGACAGGAAGCUCGUGACUUUUAACUUACAAUGUUGGACACUCCUGUCAUAUAGGUUUGUCUUUCGGUCGACUUAGAUGGAUGUUGGAGCUCCCAAAUGACAGAGAUAGUCAGAUAGAUCGGUAUCCUUUGCUAAUGGAACAAGUGGAGAGUAGUAGUGGUCAUCAACACAUAAUUGAUGUAGAGAGAAAUGGGGACGCCUCAUUGACAACAUCUCAUGGUGAUCAGCAACGCAGGGUAGACUCGACAGAGGAUGAGGAUGGACUUUCGCCUAUCAUGCCAGCCCCUGCGGAUCAAACAACUGUAAAUUCAUCAAACAAAUUGAACUCCGUGAAUUCCUCUAGCACGAGAAGAAGGAGUGAUGAUUACCACCAGCAUCGAACAAGUCCAUUGAAUUCUGGACUAUGGAUUUCAGUGGAGUUAGUUGUCACCGUGGGUCAAAUUAUAGCACCAAGUUAGCUGGACUUACCAGGUCGAGGAUCCACUAUCAGAGGCAACAAAGUAAUUGAAGCGGCUUCAAAGGAGCUCACCUGAUUCUUUGGAAACACACAUUCUUUCGUUUGAAGUAAAUAUGAGAAAGUGGAAAACUUUGCUUGCUUUUCAGGCGGUGAAGCAGCUGCUCCGGUUGGACGCAGAAAGCCCUGACACACAUAGGUGCCUGUUAAAGUUUUUCCACGUAGUUAGUUCCAUGGCUGCCCCAGCUACUGACUCUGAGAAACUUAUUUGCACUGUAUUAGAAGCUGAACGACCAUAAAUCAGUCAUUUGCAUGGGAAGUCUCUGUUAGAGGCAAAUGAGUCAUUCCUCAAUAAGCAUAAAGAUUCCUUGAUGCACAAGGCAGCUGCUGCAGAAAUGCUGUAUCUUUUGGAACCCAGCAAUAAGGGCAAGGCUGUGAAAUUAAUUGAGGAUUCAAGCAACAACUUGGUGCAAAGAAAUGGAGCACUCAGAUCAGUUAAGGAAUGGAAACUCAAGGAUUGUAUUGCGGUUCACAAGCUACUCUCCUCAGCAGUGGUUGAUAUGGAUGCUGCAUCAAGAUGGAAAUUACGUUGUGCUGAAUACUUCCCGCACUCCACAUAUUUUGAAGGAAGUCGCAGUUCUGCAGUUCUAAAGUCCUCGUACAACCAGAUUUCUAGUAAUCCUGAAAAUGGAGUCAACCAUCCUGCGGGUGGCAUAAGCAUGGAUUCUCUUGCGUCAAAUGGAAAACUGGAAGCUUUUAAGGACCUCUCUAUCUAACAAGUGGAGUUGAAAGCUCAUUUUGGGCAAUGGGAAUAUGCAUUAAGCUAAGGUUUCCCUUUUUGCAUUGUUAGUUUUACAAUCUAUAGGACAUCCUGAGGUGGAGCCAUAGGAGAAAUUUUGAAGAACGGAUGCUUCAUCAGCCUUAAGAACAAGUGGCCUCUGCAAACUUACUUCUGGAGACAUGUUGUACUUCCCUUAUUUAUGUCCACCAUUGUUUUUCCUUUGUAUAAACAUUGCGUUCUGUGAAAAAUUUUGGAAUGAGAUGUUACAAAUGAUAGAUUUUGCAUCAAUAAGACAUGCUCUCCUGGGUUGGUUUUU
Molecule: long non-coding RNA, 2015 nt
Organism: Eucalyptus grandis
Lineage: Eukaryota; Viridiplantae; Streptophyta; Magnoliopsida; Myrtales; Myrtaceae
Exons: 8
Source: RefSeq, a predicted model, not a curated record